Molecule: ribosomal RNA, 1370 nt
Filed under: uncultured bacterium
Lineage: Bacteria
Description: bacterial SSU rRNA
Rfam family: Bacterial small subunit ribosomal RNA
Source: RNAcentral
AGAGUUUGAUCCUGGCUCAGAACGAACGCUGGCGGCGUGGAUAAGACAUGCAAGUCGAACGAGAGAAUUGCUAGCUUGCUAAUAAUUCUCUAGUGGCGCACGGGUGAGUAACACGUGAGUAACCUGCCCCCGAGAGCGGGAUAGCCCUGGGAAACUGGGAUUAAUACCGCAUAGUAUCGAAAGAUUAAAGCAGCAAUGCGCUUGGGGAUGGGCUCGCGGCCUAUUAGUUAGUUGGUGAGGUAACGGCUCACCAAGGCGAUGACGGGUAGCCGGUCUGAGAGGAUGUCCGGCCACACUGGAACUGAGACACGGUCCAGACACCUACGGGUGGCAGCAGUCGAGAAUCAUUCACAAUGGGGGAAACCCUGAUGGUGCGACGCCGCGUGGGGGAAUGAAGGUCUUCGGAUUGUAAACCCCUGUCAUGUGGGAGCAAAUUAAAAAGAUAGUACCACAAGAGGAAGAGACGGCUAACUCUGUGCCAGCAGCCGCGGUAAUACAGAGGUCUCAAGCGUUGUUCGGAAUCACUGGGCGUAAAGCGUGCGUAGGCUGUUUCGUAAGUCGUGUGUGAAAGGCGCGGGCUCAACCCGCGGACGGCACAUGAUACUGCGAGACUAGAGUAAUGGAGGGGGAACCGGAAUUCUCGGUGUAGCAGUGAAAUGCGUAGAUAUCGAGAGGAACACUCGUGGCGAAGGCGGGUUCCUGGACAUUAACUGACGCUGAGGCACGAAGGCCAGGGGAGCGAAAGGGAUUAGAUACCCCUGUAGUCCUGGCAGUAAACGGUGCACGCUUGGUGUGCGGGGAAUCGACCCCCUGCGUGCCGGAGCUAACGCGUUAAGCGUGCCGCCUGGGGAGUACGGUCGCAAGAUUAAAACUCAAAGAAAUUGACGGGGACCCGCACAAGCGGUGGAGUAUGUGGCUUAAUUCGAUGCAACGCGAAGAACCUUACCUGGGCUUGACAUGUAAUGAACAACAUGUGAAAGCAUGCGACUCUUCGGAGGCGUUACACAGGUGCUGCAUGGCCGUCGUCAGCUCGUGUCGUGAGAUGUUUGGUUAAGUCCAGCAACGAGCGCAACCCCUGUUGCCAGUUACCAGCACGUGAAGGUGGGGACUCUGGCGAGACUGCCCAGAUCAACUGGGAGGAAGGUGGGGACGACGUCAGGUCAGUAUGGCCCUUAUGCCCAGGGCUGCACACGUACUACAAUGCCCAGUACAGAGGGGGCCGAAGCCGCGAGGCGGAGGAAAUCCUGAAAACUGGGCCCAGUUCGGACUGUAGGCUGCAACCCGCCUACACGAAGCCGGAAUCGCUAGUAAUGGCGCAUCAGCUACGGCGCCGUGAAUACGUUCCCGGGUCUUGCACACACCGCCCGUCA